UGAGGGGUGGAGUAGCUGGCGGGCUGGGCUGGGUUGAGCGCGCCCUCGGGGGGCAGGGAAGCCCACGUUGCUGAGGGGACAGGCUGCUGUGCUUGAGGCGGGAUAGACGGAGCCUGGCUCUGCCUCAAAGGCGCCCUCAUGGCAGGGAGGCCGCGAUUUGCCACAUCUGUCUGUCAGUCAGAGGGUGACCAGAUGUCCUGGUUUUAUAGGGACAGGCGCCAUAUGAAGGGCUUUGUCUUAUAUAGGUGCCUAUUGCCCUACCCCAUGUCCCGAUUUUUCACACUUGCUUGUGUAAUGUUGAUAACGACAUAGGUUCGAGGAAGCAAAGUGUGCUUAUUUGUGUUCUCCAUGAUUUUCCUUCUAAAAGUAUCUCGCAUGUCUCACACCCCCCCCCCAGAAAGGGCCUCUCGCACCCCCAAGGGGUGUGUGCACCCAAGGUUAAGAACCGCUGCACCCAACGGAUUCUCUAUGUGAUCGUGGGCAAGUCACUUGCAUCUCUGUAUAAUAGAGGCAAGUACCUCCCUGUCUUACAGAUACGUUGUGAGGAUACAUUCGUUAAUGGUUGUGAAGUGAUCAGUUACUACAGGGAUGGAGUCAGUACAGAUGUGGCCUUCAGGAACACCGGCCAAGUGUCUCCACCAGAUAAGAAAGUGCCCAGGACGGAGCAAAGAAGACAUGUUCUGGGAGGUACUGCACUUCUUCAAUCCGGAGAAAAGGGAACGCAAGGAGUGGAGGGAAUCCAAAAGGCAGGACAGAAAAGAAAAUCAGGAGUUUGUUAAGGACACAACUGAGUGGAUGAUUAAAGUAAUGGAGGAGCAAAUGCAGAUGCUGAAGUCCUUAAUAAUGCUGUAGACUGAGCAGACGCAUGCCUGCCCUCCCCUGCAGCACAUUCAGAACUCUUUUCUAUGCCCCUCCCAACUUCACCUGCACAGUCCUUUCCAUUUGCUGGGACUUCUCGGUUUCGUCUUCACUCCACCCCCUUGGACAGCUUUCACAAUGAUACCUGGACCUACACACAGCUCUGAAAGUCUGCCCUUGCCUGGUACCUCUUUCCCACCAAGUAUCUUUGUGUGUGUUUGAGUUGUUUCUUGUGCAAUAAAAACAAAGUUUUUUAA
Long non-coding RNA from Gopherus flavomarginatus (Mexican gopher tortoise), 1115 nucleotides. RefSeq lists it as uncharacterized. The record is from RefSeq and is a predicted model, not a curated record. The transcript is spliced from 3 exons. NCBI's taxonomy places the organism in Eukaryota, Metazoa, Chordata, Testudines, Testudinidae.